AUGAAAUCAGGACCGGGAGGGGCGUGUUGUGCGUGCAAGGGUGUGUGCGUGUGUGUGCGUGUGUGUGUGUGGGGAGGGGGCAGAGAAAUGCAGUUUCCCCGAAAGAAUAGGGAGCCCUGGAUCGGAUUCUUGGAUACAGAGCCCCCAGUAAUGCUGUCAAAGCCCUUCCUCGUGGCUCCUCGCAGCCUCCGGCUGCCCCGUACCCUGGCCACCUUGCUGAGAAGCGGCGACCCGAGUAGAAGUGGAGGCGGGGAAACUUCCUACUUCCCACGACGGCCGUUUCGUACCAGGGGGAGUGGACCGGCUGCGCGGCCCUGCGAGCCUGCCGGCGUCUCGACAGCGGCAGCUGCGGACCCGUGGCUCUUCCCUUCCCCCUCUUUCCGCCAGGCUGGCCAAGCCCGAGGCGGCCGGGAGCGGCCGGGGUGGGGGGGGAGAAGGGCGGGGAGCUCCCGGCUUGCACCCUUUCAUCCCGACCCCGGCCGGGAUCCCGGCUCCGGGUGUUGCUUCCACCCGCGUGCGAGCGAGCCGGAGAGGCGGGGGGGCGGAGCCUCGCGCGGGGGGCGGAGCCCGGGCGGGGGCGGGCGCUCGGUCCGCGCGGCUGCGGAGCCCGCCAUUGGCCGGCCGCGCCGUCACGGGGUGGGGGCGGGCGCCGAGGCGCGCACCGGCCCCGCCCCCGCCCGGAGCCCGGCCCGGGCUCGCGGUCCCCCCCAGCUGCACAGACAUGACACAGACACACAGUCACUGCAGCUGCUGAGCGAGCCCGGCGCUCUGGGCACGCGGCGGCGGGGCCAGCCCGGAGCCCGGACCCCAGCGCCCGCCCGCUCGCCCCCCCCCCCAACGCCGGCCUCCGCGCGGCGGCCCCCGCCUGGCCGGGCGCGGGAGGCGGGGAUCGCGCGCCGGCUCCGGCCAGCGGCGCCCGGCUGCCCGCGGCGGCUGCAGCGGCCGCCCAGCUCCGAGCGCCGGGCGCUCGGGGAAGCCGGCGCGGCGCGUCUCGGAGGCGGCGGCGACCGAGGCCGGCGAGCGCUCCCGGCGGCAGCGGGGCCGCCCGCCGCGGCUCCCCGCACCCACCGCGCUGCGCCCCGCCUCCGCUCCGGUGACCUUCCCGGGGCGCCGCCCCCGGCCCCGCGCCCCCGGCCCCGCGCCCCAGGCCGGGGCGAGGCCCUCUCCAGCGCCGCCUCCCCGCGGAGCCGCGGGCGGGCGGGCGGGCGGCGCAGGCCCGGGGGGAGGGGGCGCCGCGGCCGGCUCAGCCUCUCCGCCGCCGUGCUCGGCGCCCGGCCCGGUCGGACCGCCGCUGCCCCGCCGCCGCGCGGAGCCGGGGCGCCUGACGCUGGGGGCGCGGCCGCGCUCGCCUCGCGGGGCCGGGAGCGGGCAGGCCCUGCCCUGAAGGGGCGAAGCGGCGGGGAGCGCGGGGGGUGGAGCCGGCCCGGUGGCCGCCCCGCGGCUCUCCCCAGCGCCCCCUCCCCGGACCCAGCCCGAGGCCGACGCAGGCCCCUGCCCAUGCGGGGCGCCCCCGGCGGGGAGAGUCCUCGGGGCAGGGAGCAGCGCCAGGCAGCGGCGCCGGAGGGCGAGGAAGGAGGGACGGCGCUCAGCCGGGGCGGCCCGGACCCUCCCCGCCGCCCGUUGCCGCCGCGGGCCGCCCCCGAAGUCCGCGCUCGGCCCCGCCGCCUGAACUAG
RNAcentral lists this long non-coding RNA (1674 nucleotides) under Canis lupus familiaris (dog). RNAcentral's name for it is "lncRNA (ENSCAFG00030006221.1)". The record is from RNAcentral. Lineage: Eukaryota; Metazoa; Chordata; Mammalia; Carnivora; Canidae.